GCGAAUGGAUUGAGAGCUUGCUCUCAAGAAGUUAGCGGCGGACGGGUGAGUAACACGUGGGUAACCUGCCCAUAAGACUGGGAUAACUCCGGGAAACCGGGGCUAAUACCGGAUAAUAUUUUGAACUGCAUGGUUCGAAAUUGAAAGGCGGCUUCGGCUGUCACUUAUGGAUGGACCCGCGUCGCAUUAGCUAGUUGGUGAGGUAACGGCUCACCAAGGCAACGAUGCGUAGCCGACCUGAGAGGGUGAUCGGCCACACUGGGACUGAGACACGGCCCAGACUCCUACGGGAGGCAGCAGUAGGGAAUCUUCCGCAAUGGACGAAAGUCUGACGGAGCAACGCCGCGUGAGUGAUGAAGGCUUUCGGGUCGUAAAACUCUGUUGUUAGGGAAGAACAAGUGCUAGUUGAAUAAGCUGGCACCUUGACGGUACCUAACCAGAAAGCCACGGCUAACUACGUGCCAGCAGCCGCGGUAAUACGUAGGUGGCAAGCGUUAUCCGGAAUUAUUGGGCGUAAAGCGCGCGCAGGUGGUUUCUUAAGUCUGAUGUGAAAGCCCACGGCUCAACCGUGGAGGGUCAUUGGAAACUGGGAGACUUGAGUGCAGAAGAGGAAAGUGGAAUUCCAUGUGUAGCGGUGAAAUGCGUAGAGAUAUGGAGGAACACCAGUGGCGAAGGCGACUUUCUGGUCUGUAACUGACACUGAGGCGCGAAAGCGUGGG
RNAcentral lists this ribosomal RNA (719 nucleotides) under Bacillus thuringiensis. RNAcentral's name for it is "bacterial SSU rRNA". It matches the Rfam family "Bacterial small subunit ribosomal RNA", at positions 66 to 765 of the family's 1533-position model. The record is from RNAcentral. Lineage: Bacteria; Bacillati; Bacillota; Bacilli; Caryophanales; Bacillaceae.